CAGUCACAGCUCACUGCAGCCUCGACCUCCUGGACUCAAACCAUCCUCCCACUUCAGCCUUCCAAGUUACUGGGACUACAGUGCCCAACACAGUGUGGGUGCCCAAAGGAUAAGAGGCAAGGAAUCUGUCUUUGAGAAGUCUGCAGUCUAGCCAUGGAGACGAGACGUACCCAGGAUGAAAUACAGGAACCCUCCUACCUCCUUGAUUCUUCUGUAGCCCCAAACAUCCCCACGCAAAUAAGCCCAUAAAAGGAGCCCUGAGUCCUUCAACUCAAACAUGUCAUCACUGUACCCCGG
This is a long non-coding RNA of Symphalangus syndactylus (siamang), 297 nucleotides long. RefSeq lists it as uncharacterized. The record is from RefSeq and is a predicted model, not a curated record. NCBI's taxonomy places the organism in Eukaryota, Metazoa, Chordata, Mammalia, Primates, Hylobatidae.